This 420-nucleotide ribosomal RNA is filed under the name uncultured bacterium. RNAcentral's name for it is "bacterial SSU rRNA". It matches the Rfam family "Bacterial small subunit ribosomal RNA", at positions 29 to 440 of the family's 1533-position model. The record is from RNAcentral.
AACGAACGCUGGCGGCGCGCCUAAUACAUGCAAGUCGAGCGAGAAGACGUAGCAAUACGUUUGUAAAGCGGCGAGCGGGUGAGGAAUACAUGGGUAACCUACCCUCGAGUGGGGAAUAACUAGCCGAAAGGUUAGCUAAUACCGCGUACGCUCCUUGGACUUCGGCUCAGGGAGGAAAGCGAUACCGUGGGUAUCGCGCUCUUGGAUGGGCUCAUGUCCUAUCAGCUUGNGGUGAGGUAACGGCUCACCAAGGCUUCGACGGGUAGCUGGUCUGAGAGGACGAUCAGCCACACUGGCACUGCGACACGGGCCAGACUCCUACGGGAGGCAGCAGUAAGGAAUAUUGCGCAAUGGGCGAAAGCCUGACGCAGCGACGCCGCGUGGGGGAUGAAGGUCUUCGGAUUGUAAACCCCUUUCGGG